This 253-nucleotide ribosomal RNA is filed under the name uncultured bacterium. RNAcentral describes it as "partial 16S ribosomal RNA". It matches the Rfam family "Bacterial small subunit ribosomal RNA", at positions 524 to 776 of the family's 1533-position model. The record is from RNAcentral.
UACGUAGGUGGCAAGCGUUGUCCGGAUUUACUGGGCGUAAAGAGCGCGCAGGCGGUUAAUUAAGUCGAAUGUGAAAGCCCCCGGCUCAACUGGGGAGGGUCAUUCGAUACUGAUUGACUUGAAGGCAGGAGAGGGUAGUGGAAUUCCCGGUGUAGUGGUGAAAUGCGUAGAUAUCUGGAGGAACACCGGUGGCGAAGGCGGCAUCCUGGACCGAUAUUGACGCUGAUGCGCGAAAGCCAGGGGAGCAAACGGG